UUGGUACCCCGGUGACUUAAGCAUAUCAAUAAGCGGAGGAAAAGAAACUAACAAGGAUUCCCCUAGUAACUGCGAGUGAAGCGGGAAAAGCUCAAAUUUAAAAUCUGGCGGUCUUUGGCCGUCCGAGUUGUAGUCUGGAGAAGCGUUUUCCGCGUUGGACCGUGUACAAGUCUCUUGGAACAGAGCGUCAUAGAGGGUGAGAAUCCCGUCUUUGACACGGACUACCAAUGCUUUGUGAUGCGCUCUCAAAGAGUCGCGUUGUUUGGGAAUGCAGCGCAAAAUGGGAGGUGAAUUCCUUCUAAAGCUAAAUAUUGGCGAGAGACCGAUAGCGAACAAGUACCGUGAGGGAAAGAUGAAAAGCACUUUGGAAAGAGAGUUAAACAGUACGUGAAAUUGCUGAAAGGGAAACGCUUGAAGUCAGUCGCGUCGUCCGGAACUCAGCCUUGCUUCGGCUUGGUGCACUUUCCGGAUGACGGGCCAGCAUCGAUUUUGACCGCUGGAAAAGGGCUGGAGGAAUGUGGCACCUUCGGGUGUGUUAUAGCCUUCAGUCGCAUACAGCGGUUGGGAUCGAGGAACGCAGCACGCCUUAUGGCUGGGGUUCGCCCACAUUCGUGCUUAGGAUGCUGGCAUAAUGGCUUUAAACGACCCGUCUUGAAACACGGACCAAGGAGUCUAACAUGCCUGCGAGUGUUUGGGUGGAAAACCCGAGCGCGUAAUGAAAGUGAAAGUUGAGACCUCUGUCGUGGAGGGCAUCGACGCCCGGACCUGAAGUUUUCUGACGGAUCCGCGGUAGAGCAUGUAUGUUGGGACCCGAAAGAUGGUGAACUAUGCCUGAAUAGGGUGAAGCCAGAGGAAACUCUGGUGGAGGCUCGUAGCGAUUCUGACGUGCAAAUCGAUCGUCAAAUUUGGGUAUAGGGGCGAAAGACUAAUCGAACCAUCUAGUAGCUGGUUCCUGCCGAAUUUCCCUCAGGAUA
RNAcentral lists this ribosomal RNA (974 nucleotides) under Trametes sp. RNAcentral describes it as "partial large subunit ribosomal RNA". It matches the Rfam family "Eukaryotic large subunit ribosomal RNA", at positions 24 to 980 of the family's 3401-position model. Lineage: Eukaryota; Fungi; Basidiomycota; Agaricomycetes; Polyporales; Polyporaceae. The record is from RNAcentral.